AUGCCUAGAUCCAGCGGUGUGAGAUUUCGAAUCGGUUCCCCAGCCACCAUGGAGGAACGGAGGGGGAGAUUCCGGAACUUAACCACCCUUCAUCAAGAGGGAAGGGAGGUGGGUGGCCUGGCGCAAUUGUUUUGGACUUUGGCAGUCGGGUUAGGUUACAAUGAUGCAGCACUAAAGGAUUGGUUUAAUAAUUGCCUGGAUGAUCCUUUACCUCAAUGGGAGAUGAAGGGGUUAGAGAUCCUGGACUUUUGGGGGUUUACCAAUUACCUGCACCAUCGUGCUCAGUGGGAUGCAACAACCACACCAGAGUUUCCAGACAAGGCUGCCAGCUCAGCUCCACAACCCAAGAUGGCCACCAGCCCAGCCCCACAGCCCAAGAUGGCCGCCAGCCUAGCGCCACAGCGCAAGAUGGCCGCCAGCCCAGCACCACAGCACAAGAUGGCCGACUCAACGCCACCGACUCUCCAUCGUAGAGGGCGGAGGAGGAGACAGGCAGCUACUGUUCCUCAGGACCCGGAGAACGUUCCCGAGCGGGCGGCUGCCGUCCAUGAGGCCAUUCCCGAUGCGGUGCCCGCUAAUGUUCCGGAGGCCGAGGCGGUGCCCGAUGCAGUCUCCGAGGCGGUGCCCGAUGCAGUCUCCGAGGCGGUGCCCGAUGCAGUUCCCGAGGCGGUGCCCGAUGCUGUUUCCGAGGCCGAGGCUGUUCCCGAGGCGGUGUCCGAUGCAGUUCCCGAGGCGGUGCCCGAUGCAGUUCCCGAGGCGGUGCCCGAUGCAGUUCCCGAGGCGGUGCCCGAUGCUGUUCCCGAGGCGGUGCUCGAUACUGUUCCCGAGGCGGUGCCCGAUGCUGUUCCCGAGGCGGUGCCCGAUGCUGUUCCCGAGGCGGUGCCCGAUGCUGUUUCCGAGGCCGAGGCUGUUCCCGAGAAGGUGCUCGAUGCUGUUCGAGAGGCCGAGGCAAUGCCCGAUGCUGUUCCCGAUGUGGUGCCCGCUGCGGUUCUGGAGGCCGAGGCGGUACCCGCUGCUGUUCCGGAGGCCGAGGCGGUGGCCGAGGCCGUUUCCGAUGCGGUUCCCGUUGCUGUUCUGGAGGCCGAGGCGGUGCCCGCUGCUGUUCCGGAGGCCGAGGCGGUGGUCGAAGCCGUUCCCGAUGCGGUCCCCGUUGCUGUUCCGGAGGCCGGGGCGGUGGCCGAGGUCGUUCCCGAUGCGGUGCCCGCUGCUGCUCCGGAGGCCGAGGCUGUUCCCGAGGCGGUGCCUGAUGCAGUUCCCGAGGCGGUGCCCGAUGCAGUUCCCGAGGCGGUGCCCGAUGCUGUUCCCGAGGCGGUGCCCGAUGCAGUUUCCGAGGCGGUGCCCGAGGCAGUUCCCGAGGCGGUGCCCGAGGCAGUUCCCGAGGCGGUGCCCGAUGCAGUUCCCGAGGCGGUGCCCGAGGCAGUUCCCGAGGCGGUGCCCGAUGCAGUUCCCGAGGCGGUGCCCGAUGCUGUUCCCGAGGCGGUGCUCGAUGCAGUUCCCGAGGCGGUGCCCGAUGCUGUUCCCGAGGCGGUGCCCGAUGCAGUUCCCGAGGCGGUGCCCGAUGCAGUUCCCGAGGCGGUGCCCGAUACAGUUCCCGAGGCGGUGCCCGAUGCUGUUCCCGAGGCGGUGCCCGAUGCUGUUCCCGAGGCGGUGCUCGAUGCUGUUCCCGAGGCGGUGCUCGAUGCUGUUCCCGAGGCGGUGCUCGAUGUUGUUCCCGAGGCGGUGCCCGAUGCAGUUCCCGAUGCGGUUCCCGAUGCAGUUCCCGAGGCGGUGCCCGAUGCAGUUCCCGAGGCGGUGCCCGAUGCAGUUCCCGAGGCGGUGCUCGAUGUUGUUCCCGAGGCGGUGCCCGAUGCAGUUCCCGAGGCGGUGCCCGAUGCAGUUCCCGAGGCGGUGCCCGAUGCAGUUCCCGAGGCGGUGCCCGAUGCAGUUCCCGAGGCGGUGCUCGAGGCUGUUCCCGAGGCGGUGCCCGAGGCUGUUCCCGAGGCGGUGCCCGAUGCGGUGCCCGAUGCAGUUCCCGAGGCGGUGCCCGAUGCUGUUCCCGAGGCGGUGCCCGAUACAGUUCCCGAGGCGGUGCCCGAGGCUGUUCCAGAGGCGGUGCCCGAUACAGUUCCCGAGGCGGUGACCACAAGGCCGUGGUGGUCUUCUACUCCGCCCUGGGGGACUCUGGCGGUGACCACGAGGACGUGGUGGUCGUCCGCUCCACCCUGGGGGACUCGGGCGGUGACCACGAGGACGUGGUGGUCGUCCGCUCCGCUCUGGGGGACUCCGGCGGUGACCAUGAGGACGUGGUGGUCUUCUGCUCCGCCCUGGUGGACUCCGGCCUCGACCACAAAGACGUGGUGUUCUUCCGCUCCGCCCUGGAGGGCUUUGACUUUGACCACAAGGCCGUGGUGGUCUUCCGCUCCGCCCUGGCGGACUCCGGCCUCGACCACAAAGAUGUGGUGGUCAUCUGCUCCGUCCUGGUGGACGCCUCAACAUGCCCUUCAUGGACUUAUGUUUUGUGUUUUUUGA
Molecule: long non-coding RNA, 2508 nt
Organism: Carassius auratus (goldfish)
Lineage: Eukaryota; Metazoa; Chordata; Actinopteri; Cypriniformes; Cyprinidae
Source: Ensembl